UUAGGCUGGAUUUCGGCGGACGGGUGAGUACACGUGGGCACCUGCCUAUAAGACUGGGAUANCUUCGGGAAACCGGAGCUAAUACCGGAUACGUUCUUUUCUCGCAUGAGAGAAGAUGGAAAGACGGUUUACGCUGUCACUUAUAGAUGGGCCCGCGGCGCAUUANCUAGUUGGUGAGGUAAUGGCUCACCAAGGCGACGAUGCGUAGCCGACCUGUGAGGGUGAUCGGCCACACUGGGACUGAGACACGGCCCANACUCCUACGGGAGGCAGCAGUAGGGAAUCUUCCGCAAUGGACGAAAGUCUGACGGAGCAACGCCGCGUGAACGAAGAANGCCUUCGGGUCGUAAAGUUCUGUUGUUAGGGAAGAACAAGUACCAGAGUAACUGCUGGUACCUUGACGGUACCUAACCAGAAAGCCACGGCUAACUACGUGCCAGCAGCCGCGGUAAUACGUAGGUGGCAAGCGUUUCGAUAAUUUUUU
RNAcentral lists this ribosomal RNA (484 nucleotides) under Peribacillus simplex. RNAcentral describes it as "bacterial SSU rRNA". It matches the Rfam family "Bacterial small subunit ribosomal RNA", at positions 83 to 542 of the family's 1533-position model. The record is from RNAcentral. Lineage: Bacteria; Bacillati; Bacillota; Bacilli; Caryophanales; Bacillaceae.